GCGAACGGGGAGGAGCCCAGAGCCUGAAUCAGUGUGUGUGUUAGUGGAAGCGUCUGGAAAGGCGCGCGAUACAGGGUGACAGCCCCGUACACAAAAAUGCACAUGCUGUGAGCUCGAUGAGUAGGGCGGGACACGUGGUAUCCUGUCUGAAUAUGGGGGGACCAUCCUCCAAGGCUAAAUACUCCUGACUGACCGAUAGUGAACCAGUACCGUGAGGGAAAGGCGAAAAGAACCCCGGCGAGGGGAGUGAAAAAGAACCUGAAACCGUGUACGUACAAGCAGUGGGAGCACGCUUAGGCGUGUGACUGCGUACCUUUUGUAUAAUGGGUCAGCGACUUAUAUUCUGUAGCAAGGUUAACCGAAUAGGGGAGCCGAAGGGAAACCGAGUCUUAACUGGGCGUUAAGUUGCAGGGUAUAGACCCGAAACCCGGUGAUCUAGCCAUGGGCAGGUUGAAGGUUGGGUAACACUAACUGGAGGACCGAACCGACUAAUGUUGAAAAAUUAGCGGAUGACUUGUGGCUGGGGGUGAAAGGCCAAUCAAACCGGGAGAUAGCUGGUUCUCCCCGAAAGCUAUUUAGGUAGCGCCUCGUGAAUUCAUCUCCGGGGGUAGAGCACUGUUUCGGCAAGGGGGUCAUCCCGACUUACCAACCCGAUGCAAACUGCGAAUACCGGAGAAUGUUAUCACGGGAGACACACGGCGGGUGCUAA
RNAcentral lists this ribosomal RNA (709 nucleotides) under Escherichia coli. RNAcentral describes it as "bacterial LSU rRNA". It matches the Rfam family "Bacterial large subunit ribosomal RNA", at positions 253 to 1001 of the family's 2925-position model. The record is from RNAcentral. Lineage: Bacteria; Pseudomonadati; Pseudomonadota; Gammaproteobacteria; Enterobacterales; Enterobacteriaceae.